Molecule: ribosomal RNA, 515 nt
Filed under: uncultured bacterium
Lineage: Bacteria
Description: partial 16S ribosomal RNA
Rfam family: Bacterial small subunit ribosomal RNA
Source: RNAcentral
GAUGAACGCUGGCGGCGUGCCUAAUACAUGCAAGUCGAGCGAAUGGAUUAAGAGCUUGCUCUUAUGAAGUUAGCGGCGGACGGGUGAGUAACACGUGGGUAACCUGCCCAUAAGACUGGGAUAACUCCGGGAAACCGGGGCUAAUACCGGAUAACAUUUUGAACCGCAUGGUUCGAAAUUGAAAGGCGGCUUCGGCUGUCACUUAUGGAUGGACCCGCGUCGCAUUAGCUAGUUGGUGAGGUAACGACUCACCAAGGCAACGAUGCGUAGCCGACCUGAGAGGGUGAUCGGCCACGCUGGGACGGAGACACGGCCCAGACUCCUACGGGAGGCAGCAGUAGGGAAUCUUCCGCAAUGGACGAAAGUCUGACGGAGCAACGUCGCGUGAGUGAUGAAGGCUUUCGGGUCGUAAAACUCUGUUGUUAGGGAAGAACAAGUGCUAGUUGAAUAAGCUGGCACCUUGACGGUACCUAACCAGAAAGCCACGGCUAACUACGUGCCAGCCGCCGCAGUAA